This 455-nucleotide ribosomal RNA is filed under the name uncultured bacterium. Its description in RNAcentral is "bacterial SSU rRNA". It matches the Rfam family "Bacterial small subunit ribosomal RNA", at positions 28 to 507 of the family's 1533-position model. The record is from RNAcentral.
GACGAACGCUGGCGGCGUGCCUAACACAUGCAAGUCGAACGAAGCAUAGCAAUAUUCUUAGUGGCGGACGGGUGAGUAACGCGUGAACAAUCUGCCCCGUACAAAGGGAUAGCCUCGGGAAACCGGGAUUAAAACCAUAUAACGCUUUAGUACCGCAUGGUAAUAAAGUCAAAUCGAUUAAGAGGUAUGGGAUGAGUUCGCGUCUGAUUAGCUAGUUGGUGAGGUAAGGGCUCACCAAGGCGACGAUCAGUAGCCGGCCUGAGAGGGUGAACGGCCACACUGGAACUGAGACACGGUCCAGACUCCUACGGGAGGCAGCAGUGGGGAAUAUUGCACAAUGGAGGGAACUCUGAUGCAGCGACGCCGCGUGAGUGAAGAAGGUCUUCGGAUCGUAAAACUCUGUCCUUGGUGAAGAAAGGACGGUAGCCAAGGAGGAAGCCCCGGCUAACUACGUG